UAGGGAAUCUUCCGCAAUGGGCGAAAGCCUGACGGAGCAACGCCGCGUGAGUGAUGAAGGUCUUCGGAUCGUAAAACUCUGUUAUUAGGGAAGAACAAAUGUGUAAGUAACUAUGCACGUCUUGACGGUACCUAAUCAGAAAGCCACGGCUAACUACGUGCCAGCAGUCGCGGUAAUACGUAGGUGGCAAGCGUUAUCCGGAUUUAUUGGGCGUAAAGCGCGCGUAGGCGGUUUUUUAAGUCUGAUGUGAAAGCCCACGGCUCAACCGUGGAGGGUCAUUGGAAACUGGAAAACUUGAGUGCAGAAGAGGAAAGUGGAAUUCCAUGUGUAGCGGUGAAAUGCGCAGAGAUAUGGAGGAACACCAGUGGCGAAGGCGACUUUCUGGUCUGUAACUGACGCUGAUGUGCGAAAGCGUGGGGAUCAAACAGG
This 429-nucleotide ribosomal RNA is filed under the name Actinomycetes bacterium. RNAcentral describes it as "Actinobacteria bacterium partial 16S ribosomal RNA". It matches the Rfam family "Bacterial small subunit ribosomal RNA", at positions 355 to 776 of the family's 1533-position model. Lineage: Bacteria; Bacillati; Actinomycetota; Actinomycetes. The record is from RNAcentral.